Molecule: non-coding RNA, 71 nt
Organism: Stegodyphus mimosarum
Lineage: Eukaryota; Metazoa; Arthropoda; Arachnida; Araneae; Eresidae
Source: Rfam
GCCUUCGUGGUGUAACGGUAGCACACUCGGCAGAUAUUCGAGAGGUCCAGGUUCGAGUCCCGGCGACGGCA